RNAcentral lists this ribosomal RNA (497 nucleotides) under uncultured bacterium. RNAcentral describes it as "partial 16S ribosomal RNA". It matches the Rfam family "Bacterial small subunit ribosomal RNA", at positions 28 to 507 of the family's 1533-position model. The record is from RNAcentral.
GAUGAACGCUGGCGGCGUGCCUAAUACAUGCAAGUCGAGCGAACAGACGAGGAGCUUGCUCCUCUGACGUUAGCGGCGGACGGGUGAGUAACACGUGGAUAACCUACCUAUAAGACUGGGAUAACUUCGGGAAACCGGAGCUAAUACCGGAUAAUAUAUUGCACCGCAUGGUUCAAUAGUGAAAGACGGUUUUGCUGUCACUUAUAGAUGGAUCCGCGCCGCAUUAGCUAGUUGGUAAGGUAACGGCUUACCAAGGCAACGAUGCGUAGCCGACCUGAGAGGGUGAUCGGCCACACUGGAACUGAGACACGGUCAAGACUCCUACGGGAGGCAGCAGUAGGGAAUCUUACGCAAUGGGCGAAAGCCUGACGGAGCAACGCCGCGUGAGUGAUGAAGGUCUUCGGAUCGUAAAACUCUGUUAUUAGGGAAGAACAAAUGUGUAAGUAACUAUGCACGUCUUGACGGUACCUAAUCAGAAAGCCACGGCUAACUACGUG